RNAcentral lists this ribosomal RNA (254 nucleotides) under uncultured bacterium. RNAcentral's name for it is "partial 16S ribosomal RNA". It matches the Rfam family "Bacterial small subunit ribosomal RNA", at positions 524 to 776 of the family's 1533-position model. The record is from RNAcentral.
UACGUAGGGGGCAAGCGUUGUUCGGAUUUACUGGGCGUAAAGGGCGCGUAGGCGGCAAUUCAAGUCAGCUGUGAAAUCUCCGGGCUUAACUCGGAACGGUCAGCUGAUACUGCUUUGCUAGAGUGCAGAAAGGGCAAUCGGAAUUCUUGGUGUAGCGGUGAAAUGCGUAGAUAUCAAGAGGAACACCUGAGGCGAAGGCGGGUUGCUAGGCUGACACUGACGCUGAGUGCGCGAAAGCCAGGGGAGCAAACGGG